Molecule: transfer RNA, 84 nt
Filed under: Bacteroidales bacterium
Lineage: Bacteria; Pseudomonadati; Bacteroidota; Bacteroidia; Bacteroidales
Description: tRNA-Leu
Rfam family: tRNA
About the family: Transfer RNA (tRNA) molecules are approximately 80 nucleotides in length. Their secondary structure includes four short double-helical elements and three loops (D, anti-codon, and T loops).
Source: RNAcentral
GCCCAGGUGGUGGAAUUGGUAGACACGCUACUUUGAGGGGGUAGUGGGAGUAAUCCCGUGUGAGUUCGAGUCUCGUCCUGGGCA